RNAcentral lists this ribosomal RNA (388 nucleotides) under Peltophryne peltocephala (Tschudi's Caribbean toad). RNAcentral describes it as "Peltophryne peltocephalus (Tschudi's Caribbean toad) partial 12S ribosomal RNA". It matches the Rfam family "Bacterial small subunit ribosomal RNA", at positions 785 to 1384 of the family's 1533-position model. Lineage: Eukaryota; Metazoa; Chordata; Amphibia; Anura; Bufonidae. The record is from RNAcentral.
CCCCACUAUGCCUAAUCGUAAACUUUUAUUUACACUUAAACCGCCAGGGAACUACGAGCUAAGCUUAAAACCCAAAGGACUUGACGGUACCCCAUAUCCCCCUAGAGGAGCCUGUCCUAUAAUCGAUAAUCCACGUUUAACCUCACCAUUUUUUGUUAAUCAGCCUGUAUACCUCCGUCGCCAGCUUACCACGUGAGCGAAUAUUAGUGAGCUUAAUGUUAUUACACCAAUACGUCAGGUCAAGGUGCAGCAAAUGAAAUGGGAAGAGAUGGGCUACACUUUCUAUUAUAGAAGAAACGAAAAACUAUUUAUGAAAAUCUAGUUAGAAGGCGGAUUUAGCAGUAAAAAGAAAUCAGCAUGUUCAUUUUAACUCGGCACUGGGGUGUGU